This 1536-nucleotide ribosomal RNA is filed under the name Klebsiella sp. WP4-W18-ESBL-05. RNAcentral describes it as "bacterial SSU rRNA". It matches the Rfam family "Bacterial small subunit ribosomal RNA". RNAcentral also lists the same sequence under 3 other names. The record is from RNAcentral. Lineage: Bacteria; Pseudomonadati; Pseudomonadota; Gammaproteobacteria; Enterobacterales; Enterobacteriaceae.
UUGAAGAGUUUGAUCAUGGCUCAGAUUGAACGCUGGCGGCAGGCCUAACACAUGCAAGUCGAACGGUAGCACAGAGAGCUUGCUCUUGGGUGACGAGUGGCGGACGGGUGAGUAAUGUCUGGGAAACUGCCCGAUGGAGGGGGAUAACUACUGGAAACGGUAGCUAAUACCGCAUAACGUCGCAAGACCAAAGUGGGGGACCUUCGGGCCUCACACCAUCGGAUGUGCCCAGAUGGGAUUAGCUAGUAGGUGGGGUAACGGCUCACCUAGGCGACGAUCCCUAGCUGGUCUGAGAGGAUGACCAGCCACACUGGAACUGAGACACGGUCCAGACUCCUACGGGAGGCAGCAGUGGGGAAUAUUGCACAAUGGGCGCAAGCCUGAUGCAGCCAUGCCGCGUGUAUGAAGAAGGCCUUCGGGUUGUAAAGUACUUUCAGCGAGGAGGAAGGCGUUAAGGUUAAUAACCUUAGCGAUUGACGUUACUCGCAGAAGAAGCACCGGCUAACUCCGUGCCAGCAGCCGCGGUAAUACGGAGGGUGCAAGCGUUAAUCGGAAUUACUGGGCGUAAAGCGCACGCAGGCGGUUUGUUAAGUCAGAUGUGAAAUCCCCGGGCUCAACCUGGGAACUGCAUUUGAAACUGGCAAGCUUGAGUCUCGUAGAGGGGGGUAGAAUUCCAGGUGUAGCGGUGAAAUGCGUAGAGAUCUGGAGGAAUACCGGUGGCGAAGGCGGCCCCCUGGACGAAGACUGACGCUCAGGUGCGAAAGCGUGGGGAGCAAACAGGAUUAGAUACCCUGGUAGUCCACGCCGUAAACGAUGUCUAUUUGGAGGUUGUUCCCUUGAGGAGUGGCUUCCGGAGCUAACGCGUUAAAUAGACCGCCUGGGGAGUACGGCCGCAAGGUUAAAACUCAAAUGAAUUGACGGGGGCCCGCACAAGCGGUGGAGCAUGUGGUUUAAUUCGAUGCAACGCGAAGAACCUUACCUACUCUUGACAUCCAGAGAACUUAGCAGAGAUGCUUUGGUGCCUUCGGGAACUCUGAGACAGGUGCUGCAUGGCUGUCGUCAGCUCGUGUUGUGAAAUGUUGGGUUAAGUCCCGCAACGAGCGCAACCCUUAUCCUUUGUUGCCAGCGGUUCGGCCGGGAACUCAAAGGAGACUGCCAGUGAUAAACUGGAGGAAGGUGGGGAUGACGUCAAGUCAUCAUGGCCCUUACGAGUAGGGCUACACACGUGCUACAAUGGCAUAUACAAAGAGAAGCGACCUCGCGAGAGCAAGCGGACCUCAUAAAGUAUGUCGUAGUCCGGAUUGGAGUCUGCAACUCGACUCCAUGAAGUCGGAAUCGCUAGUAAUCGUAGAUCAGAAUGCUACGGUGAAUACGUUCCCGGGCCUUGUACACACCGCCCGUCACACCAUGGGAGUGGGUUGCAAAAGAAGUAGGUAGCUUAACCUUCGGGAGGGCGCUUACCACUUUGUGAUUCAUGACUGGGGUGAAGUCGUAACAAGGUAACCGUAGGGGAACCUGCGGUUGGAUCACCUCCUU